GCCUGUGUGGUGUAUUGGUUUGAGUGUUGGACUAGGACUCUGGAGACCUGGGUUCGAAUCCUAGCUCAGCCA
Non-coding RNA from Phrynosoma platyrhinos (Desert horned lizard), 72 nucleotides. The record is from the annotation of a GenBank genome assembly. NCBI's taxonomy places the organism in Eukaryota, Metazoa, Chordata, Lepidosauria, Squamata, Phrynosomatidae.